Molecule: ribosomal RNA, 309 nt
Filed under: uncultured bacterium
Lineage: Bacteria
Description: partial 16S ribosomal RNA
Rfam family: Bacterial small subunit ribosomal RNA
Source: RNAcentral
AGAGACAGCAGCCGCCACGGUAAUACGAAGGGUGCAAGCGUUAAUCGGAAUUACUGGGCGUAAAGCGUGCGUAGGCGGUGAGUUAAGUCUGCUGUGAAAUUCCUGGGCUUAACCUGGGGGCUGCAUUUGAGACGUCAAGACUAGAGUGUGAGAGAGGGUUGUGGAAUUCCCAGUGUAGAGGUGAAAUUCGUAGAUAUUGGGAAGAACACCGGUGGCGAAGGCGGCAACCUGGCUCAUUACUGACGCUGAGGCGCGAAAGCGUGGGGAGCAAACAGGAUUAGAUACCCCCGUAGUCCCUGUCUCUUAUAC